GGAUUAGAUACCCUGGUAGUCCACGCCGUAAACGAUGCGCACUAGGUUCGGGAGGUUUUGACGCCCUCCGAGCCGAAGCAAAAGUGUUAAGUGCGCCGCCUGGGGAGUACGGUCGCAAGGCUAAAACUCAAAGGAAUUGACGGGGGCUCACACAAGCGGUGGAGCAUGUGGCUUAAUUCGAAACAACGCGAAGAACCUUAUCCUGGGUUUGACAUGCAUGGAUUAGCAGCUGGAAACAGUUGUGACGCGGCUUGCCGUGGAACAUGCACAGGUGCUGCAUGGCUGUCGUCAGCUCGUGCUG
RNAcentral lists this ribosomal RNA (301 nucleotides) under uncultured bacterium. Its description in RNAcentral is "bacterial SSU rRNA". It matches the Rfam family "Bacterial small subunit ribosomal RNA", at positions 775 to 1067 of the family's 1533-position model. The record is from RNAcentral.